GAUGAACGCUGGCGGCGUGCCUAAUACAUGCAAGUCGGACGGGGAUAGCAAUAUCCAAGUGGCGACCGGGUGCGUAACACGUAGCUGACCUACCCUUCAGCGGGGGACAACAUGGAGAAAUCCGUGCUAAUACCGCAUGGACUUGGGAUGACCAAAGAAUUCCAAGGAAACGCGUAAGCGGCUGAAGGCGGGGGCUGCGGCCCAUCAGGUAGUUGGUAAGGUAAGAGCUUACCAAGCCAAUGACGGGUAGGGGGCCUGAGAGGGUGGUCCCCCACACUGGGACUGAAAGACGGCCCAGACUCCUACGGGAGGCAGCAGUAAGGGAUAUUGGGCAAUGGGCGAAAGCCUGACCCAGCAACGCCGCGUGCAGGAUGACGGCCUUCGGGUUGUAAACUGCUUUGGCGUGGGACGAGGAAGGACGGUACCACGCGAACAAGUCACGGCUAACUACGUGCCAGCAGCCGCGGUAAAACGUAGGUGGCAAGCGUUAUCCGGAUUUACUGGGCGUAAAGCGUGUGCAGGUGGGGAAACAAGUGGUGUAUGAAAUCGCUCGGCUCAACCGGGCGGGGUUAUGCCAGACUGUUUCGCUAGAGGCUGGAAGAGGGACAUGGAAUUCCGGGUGUAGUGGUGAAAUGCGUAGAGAUCCGGAGGAACUCCAGAGGCGAAGGCGGUGUCCUGGACCAGACCUGACACUCAGACACGAGAGCAUGGGGAGCGAACGGGAUUAGAAACCCCGGUAGUCCAUGCCGUAAACGAUGCGGACUAGGCGUGGGGGGACUCAACCCCUUCCGUGCCGAAGGGAACCCGAUAAGUCCGCCGCCUGGGGAGUACGACCGCAAGGUUA
Molecule: ribosomal RNA, 844 nt
Filed under: uncultured bacterium
Lineage: Bacteria
Description: bacterial SSU rRNA
Rfam family: Bacterial small subunit ribosomal RNA
Source: RNAcentral